UGGCGGACGGGUGAGAAACGCGUAGGAAAGUGUCCUGAAAUGGAAAAUAACGUUGGGAAACUGACGCUAAUACCGCAUAUGAGCUGAGGCUCAAAGCCGCGAGGCGCCUUGGGAGCUGCCUGCGUCCGAUUAGGUAGUUGGUGGGGUAAUGGCCUACCAAGCCUGCGAUCGGUAGCUGGUCUGAGAGGACGACCAGCCACACUGGGACUGAGACACGGCCCAGACUCCUACGGGAGGCAGCAGUGGGGAAUAUUGGACAAUGGGCGCAAGCCUGAUCCAGCAAUGCCGCGUGGAUGAAGAAGGUCUUCGGAUUGUAAAGUCCAUUCGGCGGGGACGAUGAUGACGGUACCCGCAGAAGAAGCCCCGGCUAACUUCGUGCCAGCAGCCGCGGUAAU
This 395-nucleotide ribosomal RNA is filed under the name uncultured Roseomonas sp. RNAcentral's name for it is "bacterial SSU rRNA". It matches the Rfam family "Bacterial small subunit ribosomal RNA", at positions 96 to 524 of the family's 1533-position model. The record is from RNAcentral. Lineage: Bacteria; Pseudomonadati; Pseudomonadota; Alphaproteobacteria; Acetobacterales; Roseomonadaceae.